GAUGAACGCUGGCGGCGUGCCUAAUACAUGCAAGUCGAGCGAACGGACGAGAAGCUUGCUUUUCUGAUGUUAGCGGCGGACGGGUGGGUAACACGUGGAUAACCUACCUAUAAGACUGGGAUAACUUCGGGAAACCGGAGCUAAUACCGGAUAAUAUUUUGAACCGCAUGGUUCAAAAGUGAAAGACGGUCUUGCUGUCACUUAUAGAUGGAUCCGCGCUGCAUUAGCUAGUUGGUAAGGUAACGGCUUACCAAGGCAACGAUGCAUAGCCGACCUGAGAGGGUGAUCGGCCACACUGGAACUGAGACACGGUCCAGACUCCUACGGGAGGCAGCAGUAGGGAAUCUUCCGCAAUGGGCGAAAGCCUGACGGAGCAACGCCGCGUGAGUGAUGAAGGUCUUCGGAUCGUAAAACUCUGUUAUUAGGGAAGAACAUAUGUGUAAGUAACUGUGCACAUCUUGACGGUACCUAAUCAGAAAGCCACGGCUAACUACGUGCCAGCAGCCGCGGUAAUACGUGGGUGGCAAGCGUUAUCCGGAAUUAUUGGGCGUAAAGCGCGCGUAGGCGGUUUUUUAAGUCUGAUGUGAAAGCCCACGGCUCAACCGUGGAGGGUCAUUGGAAACUGGAAAACUUGAGUGCAGAAGAGGAAAGUGGAAUUCCAUGUGUAGCGGUGAAAUGCGCAGAGAUGUGGAGGAACACCAGUGGCGAAGGCGACUUUCUGGUCUGUAACUGACGCUGAUGUGCGAAAGCGUGGGGAUCAAACAGGAUUAGAUACCCUGGUAGUCCACGCCGUAAACGAUGAGUGCUAAGUGUUAGGGGGUUUCCGCCCCUUAGUGCUGCAGCUAACGCAUUAAGCACUCCGCCUGGGGAGUACGACCGCAAGGUUGAAACUCAAAGGAAUUGACGGGGGCCCGCACAAGCGGUGGAGCAUGUGGUUUAAUUCGAAGCAACGCGAAGAACCUUACCAAAUCUUGACAUCCUUUGACAACUCUAGAGAUAGAGCCUUCCCCUUCGGGGGACAAAGUGACAGGUGGUGCAUGGUCGUCGUCAGCUCGUGUCGUGAGAUGUUGGGUUAAGUCCCGCAACGAGCGCAACCCUUAAGCUUAGUUGCCAUCAUUAAGUUGGGCACUCUAAGUUGACUGCCGGUGUCAAACCGGAGGAAGGUGGGGAUGACGUCAAAUCAUCAUGCCCCUUAUGAUUUGGGCUACACACGUGCUACAAUGGACAAUACAAAGGGCAGCGAAACCGCGAGGUCAAGCAAAUCCCAUAAAGUUGUUCUCAGUUCGGAUUGUAGUCUGCAACUCGACUACAUGAAGCUGGAAUCGCUAGUAAUCGUAGAUCAGCAUGCUACGGUGAAUACGUUCCCGGGUCU
This 1372-nucleotide ribosomal RNA is filed under the name uncultured bacterium. RNAcentral's name for it is "bacterial SSU rRNA". It matches the Rfam family "Bacterial small subunit ribosomal RNA", at positions 28 to 1381 of the family's 1533-position model. The record is from RNAcentral.